This 1383-nucleotide ribosomal RNA is filed under the name Staphylococcus aureus. RNAcentral describes it as "bacterial SSU rRNA". It matches the Rfam family "Bacterial small subunit ribosomal RNA", at positions 8 to 1372 of the family's 1533-position model. Lineage: Bacteria; Bacillati; Bacillota; Bacilli; Caryophanales; Staphylococcaceae. The record is from RNAcentral. RNAcentral also lists the same sequence under 1 other name.
AGAGUUUGAUCCUGGCUCAGGAUGAACGCUGGCGGCGUGCCUAAUACAUGCAAGUCGAGCGAACGGACGAGAAGCUUGCUUCUCUGAUGUUAGCGGCGGACGGGUGAGUAACACGUGGAUAACCUACCUAUAAGACUGGGAUAACUUCGGGAAACCGGAGCUAAUACCGGAUAAUAUUUUGAACCGCAUGGUUCAAAAGUGAAAGACGGUCUUGCUGUCACUUAUAGAUGGAUCCGCGCUGCAUUAGCUAGUUGGUAAGGUAACGGCUUACCAAGGCAACGAUGCAUAGCCGACCUGAGAGGGUGAUCGGCCACACUGGAACUGAGACACGGUCCAGACUCCUACGGGAGGCAGCAGUAGGGAAUCUUCCGCAAUGGGCGAAAGCCUGACGGAGCAACGCCGCGUGAGUGAUGAAGGUCUUCGGAUCGUAAAACUCUGUUAUUAGGGAAGAACAUAUGUGUAAGUAACUGUGCACAUCUUGACGGUACCUAAUCAGAAAGCCACGGCUAACUACGUGCCAGCAGCCGCGGUAAUACGUAGGUGGCAAGCGUUAUCCGGAAUUAUUGGGCGUAAAGCGCGCGUAGGCGGUUUUUUAAGUCUGAUGUGAAAGCCCACGGCUCAACCGUGGAGGGUCAUUGGAAACUGGAAAACUUGAGUGCAGAAGAGGAAAGUGGAAUUCCAUGUGUAGCGGUGAAAUGCGCAGAGAUAUGGAGGAACACCAGUGGCGAAGGCGACUUUCUGGUCUGUAACUGACGCUGAUGUGCGAAAGCGUGGGGAUCAAACAGGAUUAGAUACCCUGGUAGUCCACGCCGUAAACGAUGAGUGCUAAGUGUUAGGGGGUUUCCGCCCCUUAGUGCUGCAGCUAACGCAUUAAGCACUCCGCCUGGGGAGUACGACCGCAAGGUUGAAACUCAAAGGAAUUGACGGGGACCCGCACAAGCGGUGGAGCAUGUGGUUUAAUUCGAAGCAACGCGAAGAACCUUACCAAAUCUUGACAUCCUUUGACAACUCUAGAGAUAGAGCCUUCCCCUUCGGGGGACAAAGUGACAGGUGGUGCAUGGUUGUCGUCAGCUCGUGUCGUGAGAUGUUGGGUUAAGUCCCGCAACGAGCGCAACCCUUAAGCUUAGUUGCCAUCAUUAAGUUGGGCACUCUAAGUUGACUGCCGGUGACAAACCGGAGGAAGGUGGGGAUGACGUCAAAUCAUCAUGCCCCUUAUGAUUUGGGCUACACACGUGCUACAAUGGACAAUACAAAGGGCAGCGAAACCGCGAGGUCAAGCAAAUCCCAUAAAGUUGUUCUCAGUUCGGAUUGUAGUCUGCAACUCGACUACAUGAAGCUGGAAUCGCUAGUAAUCGUAGAUCAGCAUGCUACGGUGAAUACGUU